This 6751-nucleotide long non-coding RNA is filed under the name Manihot esculenta (cassava). Its description in RNAcentral is "long non-coding RNA (MESC_LNC000962)". The record is from RNAcentral. Lineage: Eukaryota; Viridiplantae; Streptophyta; Magnoliopsida; Malpighiales; Euphorbiaceae.
UAUGAUGUAUGAUUACUCCCUUGGUACAUGACUCCUGUUUUACGUUUCUUGAUGAGAAAUGUGUGUCUUAGGCUUAAUGUAUGGCUUUGAUGUGAUACCAGUGGGACGUGUUACAGAUUAAAAGGGUUCAAUCCCUUGACCCACAGCAGAUAGUAGUCCCUGGUAUAGGCCCUGAGGGCCAUUUCAGAUUGACAUAUCUUAGUAGCAGUAGUUAAGCCUACAGAGUUUUACAGGAUUGCUGAGUGGCUUUGUAUCAUGUAUGGGAUUUAUCAGGUACACAGAGAGUAUAGUUGGCUGACUACGGGUCCCGGCGGUCUUAAGCCGAUCUGGAUCCUAGUGCCAGUGAUGGUUCGGACCGUUACUAAGGGGUACCAGUUUCCGGGUCGUUACAGAUUGGUUUCAGAGCAUAGGGCCUCAAGAGUACGAUGUGUUGAGCAAAGAUGCUCACGGACUAGAGAUAUCCCACAUCGGAAAGAGGUGUUGUCUUGUAUAGGAAGGGAAGUACAAUAGGUAAAAUCAUGUCCACUAGGAUAGGAUGUGGAGUCCUGUCUUGCAUGCUGCUGUGAAAUGCCAUGAUGAGAUGAUGCAUGUGCAUUAUUGAUAUGUUUGAUAUGUGCUGAGGAUUCAUGUGUUCUCACAUGGAUCAUUUGCUGAUUUUUUUUUUGUGUGAUGUUGUGCCUUUCAAAGGCAGGAUGAGAGGAACUCAUCGAUCUGUUAGAUUGAAUGGAGCUCCACCAGAGGAUGAGGACAUGGAUGCUCACCUCCCCGUUCUGCAAAGGGCAACAUCAGAUAGCUUAAGCAGAGAAGGUACAUCAAGGGACCCUAGAAGGUCUGUUGAUGAGAGUAGAAGGGGAGUUGUUCAGAGUGGUAUGUCGUGGUUUAUGAGAGAAAGAGAGGAGGAUGAGCAGAGUAGAGACGGGAGCUUUGGCAUGAGCAGGUUAGGAGGAGAUAUGGGUGAGUCCCAAGGAGGCACUCAGGCCUCGAGAUUUGUUCCACCUCAGUAUCCACCCUACCCGUGGGGGGCAGAGUACCUGAUGGGGGGUACAUCGGAGUGUCCUAGGUAUAACCCAUAUCCCACCUUUAUGCCCUAUCCUUCCUUUUACCCGCCAUAUCCACCAUCAUAUUCACAGUAUACCAUGUUUCCACCCUUCUUUUGUUACCCAGGUUCAGUAAACCCGACCCCAGGGAAUGUUGCACCUCCUCCACCACCAGUAGAAUCAGUAGCCCCAGUUGUCCAAACACCCAAGCCUAGUUCACCUGGAGGAAGUAUGGUGCAGAUAACAGACUCUUUGAGGUUGGAUGUUCCCACAUUUGAGACUGGUGAUGACCCUGUUGAGUAUCUUAGAAUGGUCAAGAUGAUAGCUGAUGAGUUGGGAGUCAGUGAGAGUAAAGCCAUUCAGAUGGCAGGGGUCACAUUGAAAUGUGAGAAGGCAAGGGAAUGGUUCACCCAGUAUGUGGACCCGAGGGUAGAAAGCUUAUCCUGGGAGCAGUUUGCUACAGAGUUUACAGGAUGGGCUUGUCCAGAUAGUUCAAGGGAGUGUAAAGAGGGUGAAUUUGCGCAGCUAGAGCAAACAGAAAACAUGAGUGUAGAAACUUACCCAGAGAACAGUGAUCGUUUCCCUUUGGGUGAGGCUGCUGCAAAGAAUAAAAAGAAAGUGAGAGGCCUGAAAGGGUCAAAGAAAAAAGAGUUCUGGAAUAGGGUAAAGUUUAGUAUGGGUUUUUGCGAGGGUUCGAGUUCUGGUUGGGAUAGUUCUAGCUGUGCGAGGUGCAGUAGGAGGCACAAAGGAGUCUGUUGGGCUGGGACAAUAGCAUGUUUUAGGUGCGGACAGAAGGGGCACAUGGCACGAGAGUGUCCCACUAUGACUGUAUCAGCAUAGUUCCCGCAGACAUCCUCAGACAAUAGAAGUCCACCAGAAGCUCCAGCCUCGGUGCAGGGCAAAGAUGUGGAAGUCCGUUAGUUCCGGCUCAGAUUUUCACCCAGGAUCAGCCAGAGACAGACACACCGAACACAGUGGUGCCAGGUAAGCUCACUUUUGAGUGUUCUGAUGUGUAUGGUUUUCUGGACACUAGUAGAAUAUCAGUUGAUGUGAAAAUAGUAAAGUGUAAUAAAGUUAGAUGGUCAGAGAUAAAGAUUUAGAGACGAGUGAGUCGUUAAAGGGUAGUGAGCCAGAAAAGAGCUCGAGAGCUAUAGCCGUGGAUUUGAAAUCUAGGUAGGGAGAGAGUGAUCUCUCAUCUCUGAGUGUAGACCUCAAAUAAAGAAAUAAGGCAAAGAAUAGUGUACAAAUGUGAAGAGUAAGAAAAAGAAUCAAAGUAAGCAAAGAGAAGAGUAAAUAAGGUAGAAUCGAGCAGAGAAGGAAGAGAAUAGAAUACAUGUAAAGUUAGUAUAAGGUUAGACAGAGAUUUCAGUUUAGUCUGGGAUUAGAUGGCAAGUGAGCUCUAGUUUAGAUAGUUUUGGAUACGGGAGGCGUGGAGUGUACACAAAAGGAGUUUGUUGGCAUGGGACUACGGCAUGUAUAGAUGCGAGCAGGAAGGACUCAUCUUGUGUGUGAGUGUCCUACUGCGGCCCUGAUUGGCACAGUCCCAGCAGAUGACUUCUCGUAGUAUAACUCAGCCUAUAGCUCUAGCCAUGUUUCAGGACAGUGGUUGAGGCAGGAGGAGAGAGUUCUCCUUUUCUUGGGUUGGUUCCCGAGGGAAGAUUCAUUAGCUUUAGCUUGGCUCUUCAUCCUAACUCAGUCAGAGGCUAACACCAUCGAACACGGUGACGUCAGAUACAGUCACUUGAGGGUGUUCAGAUGUGUAGGUUAUAGUGGACCCUGAUGUUUCUUUCCCUGUUGUUUUGAGAGCCGUAGAUAGAGGGGGGUUUGAUAACUUCUGGGCUUAGAGUGAUCUCUUUGGGUUGGUAGACCCGAGUGUGAUCCAUCUGUGGCAGAGUCAGUCAGUCAGUUCAGUUCAGAGUUCGUUGUGAGUAGAUGCGAUCCAGCUGACCUUAUGGUUCUAGAGUUGACUAUGUGAUGUCAUUCUAGGGCGGAUUGGCUAGCUACUCAUAGUAUUACAUGUGUCUGCAAAGACAAGGUAAGAAAGUAUAGAUUGUAAGAUGGAUCAGAGGCAGUCCUUAGGGGGGACAGUAUAGUAUACCCAGAAGUUUGAUAUCAGCCCUACAGGCUCGUGAAGUCUUGAGGAACGGUAGUCAGGGAUUUCUUGCUCUUGUUCGAGAGCAUAAUAGCCAGGUCAGGGAACCAGCCUCAGUACUCAUAGACAGAAAAAGAGAAAGAGUGUUAUAUGUUAUCCCAGACAAGCUAGCAGGUUUACCAUUGGUAAAAACCAAUAGAGUCUGGAAGUCAAGUGAGGAUGGAGACUAGACUCAUCUUCACCUCUUCCUUCAAAAUGGUACCUGUAGCAUGUAAGAGGUGAAAAAGUUGUAAAAACUAGAAAAGCAGUUGCAUAAGUGAGAACGAUAGUAGAGCAGUGUGAACUUGGUAGCAAAGGAUUCUAUCCGACUUAGUACUACACCCUGGAAUAUUCCAGUGUCGUUGUGAGAAACGAAGGAUGAAACCUUGAGAGUUUGUCACAACUGUGAAUAGUUGCACCACAUCACUACCAAGAACAGGUGUUCCCAUGCAGAAUGAAUGAUCGAUAGGACCAACUAGAAGCUGGUUGUUUUCCAUAAUAGAUCUGAGAGUUGGGACCUAUAUGUCAAAAGUUAGAGAAAAGUCAGUGUAGCAGUUGAGUCGAGAUGAGAUCUUUAUUAUAGUGCAGCGUCUAACCCAGAGGUAAGGGGUAAAACUGCUCAGCGACUCUGAGUAUACAAGACAGUAUUUACUGGGUAAGGCAGAUGAGAUGUUAGCUGCCCUCAGUCAGAAGUCGCUUAUCAGUUUAUCCUAUCGAAACAGAUAGCUAGAGAGCUAAAGAGCUAGAGAGCUAGAGAUAGUCCAGUGUAGUUAGAAGGGAUCAAAAGAGAAGAAGCCAGUAUAGUAAAGAAGAAGAAAGGCGGGCAAGGAUCAGAGUACGCAGCAAAAGCGUAGAAUAGUUCAGAAAAAUAGAGAAGCAUGCCCAUUAUCUACUGAGUGUUGUAGAUUGUAAGAGAACACGAUAUAGAGGCCAAGUUCUAUCAUACGAGUUCGAUUUGAGGGCAUGUCUGUUUGAACCUAAAGUAAGAAGAGAAUUGAAGCUAUAGGCAAGUUAUUGCUCCUCUGACCGGGUUAAGUAAAGAGAAGCAAAAGUUAGUGUGACCAGAGUAGUGUGAAUCAAGCUGAGAAGAGUCAAAGAAAAAGGAAAGUCAGUAGUCAGAUGAAAGAUUCACGUCAGUUGUUGUGUACUGACAGAAGUGAUAAGUAGGGAAACGUCAAUAGAGUCAGGAAGCGUAGACAACCCGGGAGUUUUACUCCAGUGGUAUCCGUGUCUCUUCUCAGAGGAAGGUGUUAGACUUUCCUUAAUUGCUUGUUUGCAUAUAUGUUUAUUGUUGUUUUAAACAUUCGAGGACGAAUGUGCUUAAAGGGGGCAAGAAUGUAAUACCCGGCUAGAUUCAGACAUCGGAAUUUCUACUAUCCGGUGGAAUUCGAGGAUGUCAGAGGUCUCUGGAAGGGUAAGAGAAAAUUUUCUAAAAUGAUUUCAAGUGUUUUAAAGGUUUAGAGUGAAAAAGGAUUGAGUUUUGAAGAGAAAAGGCCAAGGAGGCAUUCUGCCAUGUUCGGCCGCCGAAGGUAAAGUUCGGCCGCCGAAAGUGCCCAAUGUUCGGCCCCCGAAUGUUGCAUGGUUUUGCAUGCGAUUCGGCAGCCGAAGUUGAGUUGGUCAGCCAGCUAUUAUGCACUCCUCCGUCGGUGAAAUGGCCAGGUGUCGAUUUGGCAUCACAGACAGAGGAUUAGGCCACGUCUCUCAUGACUCAUCUGCAGGGUGUUAUCACACCAUGCACAAGUGUGGUGUUUGUCAAGUGAGGUUGAAGGUUUUGGGUCAAAAGGAGAGGGUUGGUGGUUUGGAGCUUGGGAAGAGGUGUUGGUCCAUAGAUCAGCUUUCAGGUUGUUCCUCUUCUGGUGUUAGAAGGUAAGGGAAGGUUUUGAACUUCUUUUACUGAUUUAUAUAGCUUUUAAAGAGGGUAAGGGUAGAGUUGCAUAUAUAGGGUUUAAAGCUUAGUUUUUGAUGUUUUAAUGGUGUAAGCAUGAUUAUGUGUAUGUUUGUUGUUUGUGUUGGGGGUGUUAGGUAGUUUUAGACCCCUUUGAACAUAUACUUAAGUAUAUGUGAGUUGAGGGAGGAGUUAUGCAUGUUGACGGAGGGAGGUUGCCGUCGGGGCUGAGUUCUGGAUGAACUCAGGUUCGGCAGCCGAAGGAGGAUUCGGCCGCUGAACAUGCCAGACUUUCGUCUCUGGAGGAGACAUUCGGCCGCCGAAGGUGCAGCCGAAGGUGCCCUGUCCAGCCUUCCUUUGCUUGUUUUGCAUGCAUGUUUUGAGAUGUUCUAGAGGGGUUUUGGGGAGUUGUUUAUCAGUUGUAUAGAGUUUGUUUGGUACCUCAUUUGUGUCCUCCAUUGUAGGAUUGGACCCGAGGAACCGAGGUGUUUAGCAGGAGUAGCUGCUUCAGAGUUAGAGGUAGCCCAAAGUUAGCCAAGCAGAGGCUACAGGUGAGUGGAACUAAACUUAAUAUUUUAUCUUGAGAAAUGACACGGUUCUAGCAUGAUUCAUGCAUCAUAAACUGCCAUGUUAUAUAUUAGGGUGUGUUGCAUUAGAAUUCACGAAUAUGAUGCAUUGCAUAAGAUGUUGUUCCUAUGGAUGAAUGUUGGAUGAUCCUUAGCCCUUGAUAGAGACCAGAUACAGAGUUAUGGCAUGAGAUAGCCAUACCAGGUCGCCCCUGGAUAGGCCAGGUCGCUCCUGGUACUAUGGACAGAGCAGAGUUAAGAGUAGACCAGGUGAUGACAUAGUCUCCUUAGCACAGUUGGUCAUGUUAUGAUAUCAGAGAUAAGAGUAGACCAGGUGAUGACAUAGUCUCCUUGGCACAGUUGGUCAUGUUAUGAUAUCAGAGAUAAGAGUAGACCAGGUGAUGACAUAGUCUCCUUGGCACAGUUGGUCAGAUUAUAAUAUGUAGUUGAGGGCUAUUGGUGACAAAUUCAUCCGUGAGAUGAUAUGUUUGUGAUGUGAUGCAUUUCAUGAAAACAUGUAAUUAAUGAAUGGUGUUAUUGUUCCUCCUCACUGGGCUCUAGAGCUCAUCCCACUCCCUUAAUCCCAGUUUUGCAGGUCCUGAGAUAGCUAUGGGAAGUCAAAGUCAGCAAGAGUACAGAGGAAAGUUAUGCAUGAAUGUAUGUUGUAAUAGUAUAGUGGACAUGAUGUAAUUAAAAGAUUAGUUGUAAUGUAAUGUAUAGAUAUGUACUGUCGUAUACUGGAUAGACUUGUGCUUUCCCUAGUGUCUUUGCUAUUGUAUGAUGUAUGAUUACUCCCUUGGUACAUGACUCCUGUUUUACGUUUCUUGAUGAGAAAUGUGUGUCUUAGGCUUAAUGUAUGGCUUUGAUGUGAUACCAGUGGGACGUGUUACAGAUUAAAAGGGUUCAAUCCCUUGACCCACAGUAGAUAGUAGUCCCUGGUAUAGGCCCUGAGGGCCAUUUCAGAUUGACAUAUCUGAGUAGCAGUAGUUAAGCCUACAGAGUUUUACAGGAUUGCUGAGUGGCUUUGUAUCAUGUAUGGGAUUUAUCAGGUACACAGAGAGUAUAGUUGGCUGACUACGGGUCCCGGCGGUCUUAAGCCGAUCUGGAUCCUAGUGCCAGUGAUGGUUCGGAC